Long non-coding RNA from Nilaparvata lugens (brown planthopper), 194 nucleotides. RefSeq lists it as uncharacterized. The record is from RefSeq and is a predicted model, not a curated record. The transcript has 3 exons. NCBI's taxonomy places the organism in Eukaryota, Metazoa, Arthropoda, Insecta, Hemiptera, Delphacidae.
CUGGAUUUAGAAGAUCAAUACGAUAAUGUUCUCUAUCACAAUUUAAUCAUAGAAAUAGAUUUCCAAGAACGCGGAACUCGGAAUGCCUGACCGCUCCCUGUGAGCAGAGCACGCACCCUAAACAAAAAGCUGUACCUGGUCUAUAAUAAGUUGAAUGCUGGGAAUUCAACAGUUAAAGGAAAUCAGUAAUAACA